RNAcentral lists this ribosomal RNA (1374 nucleotides) under metagenome. RNAcentral's name for it is "bacterial LSU rRNA". It matches the Rfam family "Bacterial large subunit ribosomal RNA", at positions 1537 to 2925 of the family's 2925-position model. The record is from RNAcentral.
AAAAUCCGCUGUAACAAUUCUGAGGCGUGAUGGGGAAGGUCAUUAAGACCGAAGUACAUGAUUCCAUGCUUCCAAGAAAAGCAUCUAGAGAGAGAAGUAGUGCCCGUACCGCAAACCGACACAGGUAGAUGAGGAGAGAAUCCUAAGGCCGGCGGAAGAAUUGCAGUUAAGGAACUAGGCAAAUUGACCCCGUAAGUUCGCGAGAAGGGGUGCCUGCGAGAGCAGGCCGCAGAGAAUAGGCCCAAGCAACUGUUUAGCAAAAACACAGGUCUCUGCUAAAGCGUAAGCUGAUGUAUAGGGGCUGACGCCUGCCCGGUGCUGGAUGGUUAAGGGGAACACUUAGCGCAAGCGAAGGUGUGAACUUAAGCCCCAGUAAACGGCGGCCGUAACAAUAACGGUCCUAAGGUAGCGAAAUUCCUUGUCAGGUAAGUUCUGACCCGCACGAAUGGCGUAAUGACUUGGGCACUGUCUCAACUGCAAAUCCGGCGAAGUUGUAGUGCGAGUGAAGAUGCUCGCUACCCGCGAUUGGACGGAAAGACCCCGUAGAGCUUUACUGUAGCUUAGCAUUGAAUUCCGGUAUUGUCUGUACAGGAUAGGUGGGAGACUGGGAAACUAGGGCGUCAGCCUUAGUGGAGUCAACCUUGGGAUACCACCCUGACAGUACUGGGGUUCUAACAGGACGCCAUGAAGCUGGUGACUGGACAUUGUUAGGUGGGCAGUUUGACUGGGGCGGUCGCCUCCUAAAAAGUAACGGAGGCGCCCAAAGGUUCCCUCAGAACGGUCGGAAAUCGUUCGUAGAGUGCAAAGGCAGAAGGGAGCCUGACUGCGAGACCCACAAGUCGAGCAGGGACGAAAGUCGGGCUUAGUGAUCCGGUGGUACCUCGUGGGAGGGCCAUCGCUCAACGGAUAAAAGCUACCUCGGGGAUAACAGGCUGAUCUCCCCCAAGAGUCCACAUCGACGGGGAGGUUUGGCACCUCGAUGUCGGCUCGUCGCAUCCUGGGGCUGUAGUAGGUCCCAAGGGUUGGGCUGUUCGCCCAUUAAAGCGGCACGCGAGCUGGGUUCAGAACGUCGUGAGACAGUUCGGUCCCUAUCCGUCGCGGGCGUAGGAAAUUUGAGAGGAGCUGUCCUUAGUACGAGAGGACCGGGAUGGACUGACCUCUGGUGCACCAGUUGUUCUGCCAAGAGCAUGGCUGGGUAGCUAAGUCGGGAAGGGAUAAACGCUGAAAGCAUCUAAGCGUGAAGCCCCCCUCAAGAUGAGAUUUCCCAUAGCAUAAGCUAGUAAGACCCCUUGAAGAACACAAGGUUGAUAGGUCAGAGGUGGAAGUGCGGUAACGUAUGUAGCUGACUGAUACUAAUAGGUCGAGGGCUUGACC